CGCUGAAAGCCUGGUGCUUGCACCGGGUGGAUGAGUGGCGAACGGGUGAGUAACACGUGAGUAACCUGCCCCUGACUUCGGGAUAAGCCCGGGAAACUGGGUCUAAUACCGGAUACGACUGCCGGACGCAUGUCUGGUGGUGGAAAGUUUUUUCGGUUGGGGAUGGGCUCGCGGCCUAUCAGUUUGUUGGUGAGGUAAUGGCUCACCAAGACGACGACGGGUAGCCGGCCUGAGAGGGCGACCGGCCACACUGGGACUGAGACACGGCCCAGACUCCUACGGGAGGCAGCAGUGGGGAAUAUUGCACAAUGGGGGAAACCCUGAUGCAGCGACGCAGCGUGCGGGAUGACGGCCUUCGGGUUGUAAACCGCUUUCAGCAGGGAAGAAGCGCAAGUGACGGUACCUGCAGAAGAAGUACCGGCUAACUACGUGCCAGCAGCCGCGGUAAUACGUAGGGUACGAGCGUUGUCCGGAAUUAUUGGGCGUAAAGAGCUCGUAGGUGGUUGGUCACGUCUGCUGUGGAAACGCAACGCUUAACGUUGCGCGUGCAGUGGGUACGGGCUGACUAGAGUGCAGUAGGGGAGUCUGGAAUUCCUGGUGUAGCGGUGAAAUGCGCAGAUAUCAGGAGGAACACCGGUGGCGAAGGCGGGACUCUGGGCUGUAACUGACACUGAGGAGCGAAAGCAUGGGGAGCGAACAGGAUUAGAUACCCUGGUAGUCCAUGCCGUAAACGUUGGGCACUAGGUGUGGGGGGGCAUUCCACGUUCUCCGCGCCGUAGCUAACGCAUUAAGUGCCCCGCCUGGGGAGUACGGUCGCAAGGCUAAAACUCAAAGGAAUUGACGGGGGCCCGCACAAGCGGCGGAGCAUGCGGAUUAAUUCGAUGCAACGCGAAGAACCUUACCAAGGCUUGACAUACACCGGACCGUCCUGGAAACAGGUCCUCUUCUUUGAAGCUGGUGUACAGGUGGUGCAUGGUUGUCGUCAGCUCGUGUCGUGAGAUGUUUGGGUUAAGUCCCGCAACGAGCGCAACCCUCGUUCUAUGUUGCCAGCAUGUUGAUGGUGGGAACUCAUAGGAGACUGCCGGGGUCAACUCGGAGGAAAGGGUGGGGAUGACGUCAAAUCAUCAUGCCCUU
Molecule: ribosomal RNA, 1134 nt
Filed under: uncultured bacterium
Lineage: Bacteria
Description: bacterial SSU rRNA
Rfam family: Bacterial small subunit ribosomal RNA
Source: RNAcentral